UACAGAGGUCUCGAGCGUUGUUCGGAUUCAUUGGGCGUAAAGGGUGCGUAGGUGGCGUGGUAAGUCUGGUGUGAAAUCCCGGGGCUCAACCCCGGAACUGCACUGGAUACUGCCAUGCUUGAGUACUGGAGAGGAGAUUGGAAUUUACGGUGUAGCAGUGAAAUGCGUAGAUAUCGUAAGGAAGACCAGUGGCGAAGGCGAAUCUCUGGACAGUUACUGACACUGAGGCAGCGAAGGCCAGGGAGCAAACGGG
RNAcentral lists this ribosomal RNA (253 nucleotides) under uncultured bacterium. Its description in RNAcentral is "partial 16S ribosomal RNA". It matches the Rfam family "Bacterial small subunit ribosomal RNA", at positions 524 to 776 of the family's 1533-position model. The record is from RNAcentral.